UGAUAGAGCUUGCUCUUCGAUUCAGCGGCGGACGGGUGAGUAAUGCCUAGGAAUCUGCCUGGUAGUGGGGGACAACGUUUCGAAAGGAACGCUAAUACCGCAUACGUCCUACGGGAGAAAGCAGGGGACCUUCGGGCCUUGCGCUAUCAGAUGAGCCUAGGUCGGAUUAGCUAGUUGGUGAGGUAAUGGCUCACCAAGGCGACGAUCCGUAACUGGUCUGARAGGAUGAUCAGUCACACUGGAACUGAGACACGGKCCAGACUCCUACGGGAGGCAGCAGUGGGGAAUAUUGGACAAUGGGCGAAAGCCUGAUCCAGCCAUGCCGCGUGUGUGAAGAAGGUCUUCGGAUUGUAAAGCACUUUAAGUUGGGAGGAAGGGCAUUAACCUAAUACGUUAGUGUUUUGACRUUACCGACAGAAUAAGCACCGGCUAACUCUGUGCCAGCAGCCGCGGUAAU
This 457-nucleotide ribosomal RNA is filed under the name uncultured bacterium. RNAcentral describes it as "bacterial SSU rRNA". The record is from RNAcentral.